This 75-nucleotide transfer RNA is filed under the name Micrococcus luteus SK58. RNAcentral describes it as "tRNA-Thr". It matches the Rfam family "tRNA". Rfam says of the family: Transfer RNA (tRNA) molecules are approximately 80 nucleotides in length. Their secondary structure includes four short double-helical elements and three loops (D, anti-codon, and T loops). The record is from RNAcentral. Lineage: Bacteria; Bacillati; Actinomycetota; Actinomycetes; Micrococcales; Micrococcaceae.
GCCCCGAUAGCUCAGUGGUAGAGCGCCAUCUUGGUAAGAUGGAGGUCCCGGGAUCGAUUCCCGGUCGGGGCUCUG